ACUCGGAUAGCUCAGAAGGAAGAGCAGUUGACUUGUAAUCAAAAAGGUCCCGGGUUCGAGUCCCGGUCCGAGCU
Non-coding RNA from Manduca sexta (tobacco hornworm), 74 nucleotides. NCBI's taxonomy places the organism in Eukaryota, Metazoa, Arthropoda, Insecta, Lepidoptera, Sphingidae. The record is from the annotation of a RefSeq genome assembly.